UGCAGUGAGGGAGAGAGGGAGAGACCACCCCUCCUUCCCAUCCCCAGCUCCAGGACUGCUGCGGCGGGGGAGAGAUGGCACGUCCAUCGCAUUAGAAAGAUAAGACUAUUAAUAUUAAAA
Gopherus evgoodei (Goodes thornscrub tortoise) is the source of this 120-nucleotide long non-coding RNA. RefSeq lists it as uncharacterized. The record is from RefSeq and is a predicted model, not a curated record. The transcript has 3 exons. Lineage: Eukaryota; Metazoa; Chordata; Testudines; Testudinidae.